GGGCGCGGAGAGGGCCCCGCGCACGGCGCGCGCCCAGGCACGUUUCUCCAUCUCAGCCUCGCGAGCUCGCCAGAGACCGCGCGAAUACACCGAGCCCGGCGACCGAGGUUCCCGCGGGGCUGCGCGGCGGACUGCGUGGGCGGGGCCGCGGAGGUCACGUGGGCUGUGCUCUGGACUCCAGUGCUGUUCUUUCCGUGGGUCUGUGUAUCCAGAAGUGGCUGUGAAUCUGCACCUAAGGACUUGUCCUUACUGUCCCGGAGGUCCAAGUUCUCUAAGAGCCUUCUGGGUCACCGCAGGGACCAGUGGCGCUGGAAAAGUGCCUGCUGCUGAAAUAGCCAGGCAAGGCCUAACCUGGGCAGUAAAGGAGCCUCUGGGAUCACCGAGUGGCAGAAGUCUCCAUGCUGGAUUUCCUGCAUGAACUUGCUGUCCUGGGUCACCGAGCAGUGGUGUGCGUGCUGGAAAAGUUCUCCGCAUCUGUCCAAGCCUGUUCUCCAUGAAAAACUGAGGUUCCUGCAGAAGUUGUGGAAAUAAAUUGGGAAACGAUCUCCUCUCAAGAAGCUGAAGAUGUUCCUUUAUUUUCAUCCUCUCUAGAUCCGAAGUGGCACAGUUCACUUGGUUUGUGAUCCAGAACAGGCAGAGGGUGUCCACGGUGAGAUCAUCAGGAGAGUUGUAGCCAGAGUCCUCUGCGAGUGGUGUUUUCCUGGAAGGACUUUGGAGUGAACAGACAAGUGAGCAGAAUCGUCAGCAUCACCUGAAUGUGGGGGAAGAGCCAUCGGGCUGGGCAUAGUAGUGCAAGUUUGGAAACAGGUCCUGUGGCCCUAUUUUUCUUUACUUUGAAAUAGGUAUUGGGAUUUCUAGAUCAAUAAUGCAGGUCACAUGGUCAAUAAAAGAGCUCACAAAAGAUGGGUUUGAAAAAGCUUUGCUACUAAUACUCUACAAGCGAGUAUUUUAUAUUUCUUGCUUGUUUUUAGCAAAGUAAAUAUAGAUUAACCACAGAAGGAUCAAAAAUCAUUGAUUGAUUGUUUUGAUUCUUGGUCUUUGGUACAAUUACACUUGAUUUAAAUUUAUAGUUAAUUGCAUGUACUUUUCUUCAUAAAACAUUCUUUUCAUGUUUUUGUAAUAUGCAUCAACUCCUGAAUUACUUAGUGUUUUUCAAGUAUGUUUUUUCUAGGAAGCUCAAGGCUCAUUAUUUUGGAGAGAGCAAGUUUCAGCUCAAGUGGGGAGUGCAAAGAUAAGAACUUCAUUGUCUUAGUUCCUUUUGUUGUUGCUGAGAGGAAA
Molecule: long non-coding RNA, 1278 nt
Organism: Chinchilla lanigera (long-tailed chinchilla)
Lineage: Eukaryota; Metazoa; Chordata; Mammalia; Rodentia; Chinchillidae
Exons: 5
Source: RefSeq, a predicted model, not a curated record